RNAcentral lists this ribosomal RNA (209 nucleotides) under uncultured bacterium. Its description in RNAcentral is "partial 16S ribosomal RNA". It matches the Rfam family "Bacterial small subunit ribosomal RNA", at positions 524 to 732 of the family's 1533-position model. The record is from RNAcentral.
GACGUAGGGCGCGAGCGUUGUCCGGAUUUAUUGGGCGUAAAGAGCUCGUAGGCGGCUUGUCGCGUCGUCCGUGAAAACCUGCAGCUCAACUGCAGGCUUGCGGUCGAUACGGGCAGGCUCGAGUUCGGUAGGGGAGACUGGAAUUCCUGGUGUAGCGGUGAAAUGCGCAGAUAUCAGGAGGAACACCGGUGGCGAAGGCGGGUCUCUGG